AUUGAAAUCUGAUGGCUAAGAAAACUAUUUGUAUAAAGCUUCUUAAUUGUAGAAUUAAAUGAGACUUAGUUAUAAGACGAUAUUUGAUUAAAAUUUAACUAAUAGUUAUGCAAAAAGUUAACAUGAGAAGCGCAUGCGCAGAUAGAGGUCAUUAUUCAGAGAUAUUCAAGUAUAAUUGAAUAAAUUUCUGGGUGUUUAAUGAUGAAAAAGGGUGGGCAUGUUAACUCUUAGCAUAACUAUUGGUUUAUAAAAAUUUUAAUCAAAUAUCGUCUUAUAACUAAGCCUCAUUUAAUUUUACAAUUUUUAUAAACCAAUAUUAUGCAAGAGUUCCCAUGAGAUUUGAGAGCCAAUUUACUUGAAUAAAUGUAAUGUAUACAUGUUUUAUAAGAUAACAAUAAUGUAUUGGAUUCCCAAAUUACUAUAAAAUUAAUUAAUUAAAGUGUGGUACAAGAGUAUUUGAAUCAUACUUGCAGUACUAAUCAGCUGACACUUAGUUAUAUAUAUAUAUCCAUAAUUGUUUCAACG
RNAcentral lists this long non-coding RNA (525 nucleotides) under Mytilus galloprovincialis (Mediterranean mussel). The record is from RNAcentral. Lineage: Eukaryota; Metazoa; Mollusca; Bivalvia; Mytilida; Mytilidae.